ACAGCUAAUAAAAUUUGAAGGAAAAGCUUAAUCGAUAGUGUGGAAGAAAGAGAAGAAUGGCGGAAGAGGGACAGGUGAUCGGUGUCCACUCCGUGGAUGAGUGGAAGGGACAUCUGGAGAAGGGAAAGGAGAGCAAGAAACUGAUUGUGGUGGAUUUUACUGCUUCUUGGUGUGGCCCAUGCCGUUUCAUUGCCCCAAUUCUAGCAGAGAUUGCUAAGAAGUUGCCGAAUGUAGUCUUCCUCAAGGUGGAUGUGGAUGAAAUGGAAGUGAGUAUACCUGAAUCUUCAUCAUAACUUCAUUUUAUUUCUAAUCCUAAAUCUCGAAGUGUUUUGAGGACUAUUUCCUUAAAUAAGAAUCUUCCAAUCACCUUGGUUUUUCUUCAGUCUGUUUCUAAGGAGUGGAGCAUUGAGGCUAUGCCAACCUUCCUGUUCUUGAAAGAAGGCGAACUGGUGGACAAGGUUGUGGGUGCUAAGAAGGAGGAGCUGCAACUCACAAUAAGCAAACAUGCUACUGCUGCUGCUUGAAGUGUCGUAUGAAUAUGUUGAGAAUAAUAAGUUAUUGUUUUCGAGUCAGUUUGCAAUUAGCUAUUUCUGUAUCAGCUUGCGUGAUUUCAGUGUGGGUUUGGAGUCGGAGUAUGUGUAAAUGAAAUUGUUGCACAAUCGUACUUGAAAUGCAUUUGAUUAUGAAACUAGCAAGAUUAGCAACCAACUUGACGGUUUAUAAAAAUAUUCAGCUUUGUGCGUUAUUCUUUUAUAGUUGCUGUGACAUUUGUAACUGUGACAUUUGUAAUUUUUAUUAAUUGCUCAAAAGCAGAAAUAGGUAUCCUCGUUCUCUAUAGUAGUGUUAAUCAGUUAUGGAUUAUAACGGUGGCACUGUGAUUUGAAGUUCCUGCCCUUCGAAUCAAACAGUUUGGUUUUAGAACUUUAGGUAUGUUUGGGAGCUUAAGAGGUAAGGGAUCAUGCUUGGUUUUUAAAAAAUGUUCAUUUUGAUAUUUUUUAGAAACACUAGGAACUAACGAUAAUUAUCAGAAUUUAGUUGAAGUAGAGAUUAACACAAUCGGACGGGUCAUACGUGAUAUACGAUAUUAUCAAUGAGAACCACGGCAGAAGUGACGACGCGUCGACGCCAAAGCAACAAAAAAUUUUAAAAGGAAAACCAAUACUUGGACGCACGAUGGCAAUAUAUUAUAGUGGAAAAAGCUAGGGAGUUCGACAUAAAUGAUGCAGAGAGGAGGCAAGAUACUGUUAGUACAUGACAAGAAUUGAUCCCUCUUAACAUGUCAACGAUUUUUGUAUCGUUCUUGAUAAGCAUCAACUAAGCUCUCUUAUUAAUACUAUCAAGAGAGUCAAAUACAAAUUUUGAAUACGAAGUCGUGCCAAAUUUUAACCCGAGUUUCACAAGAAAAUUUUAAGGUUAUUGCAAAUGAGGGACUUCAUCUAGUUACAAUGAUCACUACAUUUCAAGCAUCCGCUUUCUAGGCAGACUUACUGCACAAGUUCACAUGUACUCUCUUUCACUCACUCUAUAGUCAGUCGCUAUUGAUUAGGUUGUGGAGCCCAUGCAAACCCUCCUAAAGAAAAGUAAAUUAGUGGCAAGAUGGCGGGGCCGUGCAAUAACAAGAGGAUGCUAUACGACAUUAGUCGAAGAUGCUGCCGGGGCCUUAAAAUACCAUAAUCAUAUGGGGGUCAACAAUGAGGAUCGCGUGCAUAAAUGGUAGCCUUAUUACAAUAGCUUAAACUGCGGCUGAUAGUGAUUGAAACUAACGAUACGUAGAUGAUUGAAUGGCAAUUACAAACAUACUUGCGUAUGCAGACAAAAUGGAAAUAAAUGAACGAAGACACCCGUCGAAGAUAAUUUUCUCUCUUGAAAAAAGUAGAUACAUUGACUUGUCGAAACGAAUAGAUUACAAAUCAUCUUGGCAACCCAUUUGUAUCAAUCACGGUGACCCAUUUCGAUCACAUAAAUAAGGAUUAACACGUCUAACCCCGAUCGUUGAAAAAUGCCACGCACCGACAGAUGCUGAUUUAUUGCCAAGUUAUGAUAACUUAAUGUGUCAAAGCUACCCUUGCUUCAACCAAUGCAAACGAAAGCCACAGAGAGAAUUCACAGGUGGAAACUAAAUUAUUCUUGUUCAGGUUCUUUAGUUCUCUGAAUUGGGUUCACUACUCACGAACUCCAGGAGUAUGUACCGUUCUCUUUACCAAAGAUAUUUUCCACGGAUUCCCACCUAAUUCUUCAAACACUACAAUCAAGUUCUUGGUUGGCUUUAGCCAGGACCUUGGAAUGUGAUACCUGCGAAAUUUCCAAAUAGAAAGCGGUUAAAUGUCAUUCCUCCAUCAUUGGCCUCAUAAAAAAAAUAAUAAUAAUACAUAGUGACAUUGGAUCCGACACACUGCACCAAAGAAGGCCAUUGCAUUAUUAUCAUCAUUAUUCAUAUCUAGAGAGUAACGAUACUGACACCCGUCGCACACUAUUUUAUCACCCUGCACGUGACAUUGAUCUGACAUACCACACAAGUUCAACGGCUCUAAAAAGUAGCAUUUUCCUGAAGACAUAAAAUAAGUUUGCUGUUAUCUUUUACAGAAAAGCAGUACCAUCGUUGAGUGGGUUGUCCACAACCAAGUUGGCACUUUACAGGCCGGAAUGUCCCAGAAUAGCUGCAAGAUUUACAGUCACCCUUUGCAUAAGUCAUCCAAUAUCUCCCUAUGCUCUGCCCGUUGAUCCAUACUUGACCCUUACCCAUACUUCCCAUGUCCAAAGCCAGUGGUUCUUUACCCCCAGGUGCAUCAAAAUAAGCCUGUAGGUUUGAAGUAGAUGAUAAGAUUCUAGUUGAUAUAGGUUAUAG
RNA transcript from Abrus precatorius (Indian licorice), 2845 nucleotides. It is a transcript of the gene named probable cysteine protease RD21C, with no coding region annotated. The transcript has 2 exons. The record is from RefSeq and is a predicted model, not a curated record. NCBI's taxonomy places the organism in Eukaryota, Viridiplantae, Streptophyta, Magnoliopsida, Fabales, Fabaceae.